CGUAGGGGGCUAGCGUUGUCCGGAUUUAUUGGGCGUAAAGCGCGUGUAGGCGGCCGGCUAGGUCUGGUGUGAAAACUCGAGGCUCAACCUCGAGAUGUCGCCGGAAACCAGUCGGCUAGAGUCCGGAAGAGGAGAGUGGAAUUCCUGGUGUAGCGGUGAAAUGCGCAGAUAUCAGGAAGAACACCUAUGGCGAAAGCAGCUCUCUGGGACGGUACUGACGCUGAGACGCGAAAGCGUGGGGAGCGAACAGGAUUAGAUACCCUGGUAGUCCACGCCGUAAACGAUGGGCGCUAGGUGUGGGCGGUGUCGACUCCGUCCGUGCCGAAGCUAACGCAUUAAGCGCCCCGCCUGGGGAGUACGGCCGCAAAGCUA
RNAcentral lists this ribosomal RNA (372 nucleotides) under uncultured organism. RNAcentral's name for it is "bacterial SSU rRNA". It matches the Rfam family "Bacterial small subunit ribosomal RNA", at positions 526 to 896 of the family's 1533-position model. The record is from RNAcentral.